RNAcentral lists this non-coding RNA (37 nucleotides) under unclassified sequences. RNAcentral's name for it is "L31-Coriobacteria ribosomal protein leader". It matches the Rfam family "L31-Coriobacteria ribosomal protein leader". The record is from RNAcentral.
GCGCUGAUCGGUAACCAGCGCCUGACUAAAUAAGGAG